ACGUAGGGGGCAAGCGUUAUCCGGAAUUAUUGGGCGUAAAGAGUGCGUAGGUGGUUUUUUAAGCGUGAGGUGAAAGGCAAUAGCUUAACUAUUGUAAGCCUUGCGAACUGGAAGACUUGAGUGCAGGAGAGGAAAGUGGAAUUCCUAGUGUAGGGGUGAAAAGGCGUGAAAUUAGGAGGAACCCCCGGGGCGAAGGCGACUUUCUGGACUUGAACCGACCACUAGGCAACGAAGGGUGGGGAGCAAACAG
This 250-nucleotide ribosomal RNA is filed under the name uncultured prokaryote. Its description in RNAcentral is "partial 16S rRNA". It matches the Rfam family "Bacterial small subunit ribosomal RNA", at positions 525 to 775 of the family's 1533-position model. The record is from RNAcentral.